This 146-nucleotide small nucleolar RNA is filed under the name Triticum aestivum (bread wheat). Its description in RNAcentral is "Small nucleolar RNA Z247". It matches the Rfam family "Small nucleolar RNA Z247". From Rfam's summary of the family: Z247 is a member of the C/D class of snoRNA which contain the C (UGAUGA) and D (CUGA) box motifs. Lineage: Eukaryota; Viridiplantae; Streptophyta; Magnoliopsida; Poales; Poaceae. The record is from Rfam by way of RNAcentral.
UGGAUCGACGAUGACAAGCGGCGAGAUUGUUUCCCAAGUCCUGGCCGGCCUCGACCUCGACUACAACCCGGUCGUGUCGGCCCUUGCUGCGCGCGUGGAGCCCGUGACCGUCCAGGAGCUGAAUACCCAAUUGCUAAGCUUUGACG